Molecule: long non-coding RNA, 14710 nt
Filed under: Nicotiana tabacum (common tobacco)
Lineage: Eukaryota; Viridiplantae; Streptophyta; Magnoliopsida; Solanales; Solanaceae
Description: long non-coding RNA (NTAB_LNC012351)
Source: RNAcentral
UGACAAAAAAUUUGGCUCCAAAUAGCGACUUAUAGAGAGUCGCCACUGAUGGUAUUUGGGGCGAUAGGGUCGCCUCUAAUAGUGUAAGUAUCUGAUAUUUAAAAUAAAAAACUAAAUACUACCUAAGAUUGUCUCGUUUAAUAAAAGAAGGCCGAAGACGGUCCCUUCCUUCUUCCCUCUUCUCUUUUCUCUCUGCAAAAGCCAUUGAAACCUAAUGUAUGAAACCCAAAUUCUUCUUCCAAAUUCCCAAAUUAAAUCUUUCACUUUUGUUUAAUCACAAGAUGUGAACCUACUUUAUGAAACCCAAAAGCCCUAACACCAUUUGUAUUUUAAGAUUGUACUCAAAUAAGGUAAUGUAUUCAAACCCCAAAUCCUUUUGGGUGUUAAAUGCAGUUAGCAAGAGUGACUAUUUCAUCACAUUCACCUCUAAUUUAUUUAACCCAUUUGAAAUCUACAGGAGUAGAAAGCAAUUUUUCCAACAAUAUCAUCGUGUAAAGCCCUUCUCGGUGUUGACGAUCUCUUUGCUGGGUAAGUUAUUUUUAUUGAAAUUCUAAACUUUUUGGUGAUUGCAUGUUUGGUAUUCCUCUCAAAAUUCUGAAAUGAGAUGUUGUGUGGUAUGGGUCUGUUAUUUUUCCUGAUAUUUUUCGACAAAAUUCCAUAGAGCAGUUUUUUACGCGAUUCUUUGUUGUGUGGUAUGCCCUAAGUUUCUUAUUUCUGAGAGUGAAAAAAACCACUGCCUUAUGGGUAGAUAUGAUACUGCUCUUGCUGCACAAACAAUUGAUUUUCUGCGCAAGAAAAUCUCUGCCUUAUGGGUUUUAGUUGUUGGACUUUUCAAGAGUUAUGUCUGUAACUCUUUUCUGAUACAUUGUGUGAUGCUUGGUAUUUUGAUAUGUAUUUUAAUUAGAAGGUUGCCCUAUUGCUUUUUAGAAUUAAAACCAAAAACUGCUCUUCUCUGUUCUCACAAAGCUCAAUUGAAGUAUAUUUGGGAAAUAUUUUGUUCUUCAUAGGCCUUCCGAACUAAAAUUAGUAGGUCCACACUGGUCAAGGCAAAAUCGUUAUUAGCAGAAUUAGGCUUAUUUUAUGCACAAAUAUAACACUAUGCUAGGAUAGAGAACAUACAGAGUUGAAACUGGCAGCGGUAGCCUCUUCAGUGUCAUCUUCAGGUAAAAUGCCAAUUUCAACAAGUUCCAGUAGCUCUUUCCUAGAUAUGUUCCAGUCUUGCUCCCUUUGUUCAUCAAAUUUCUACCAAAAAAGCUUGACGUUUUCCACUCCUUACUUUACAGUUCACGCUCAUAAACACUACUAUUUCUGAGCUGGUGCAGUAUAUUAUUAACUAAGUAUUUACUUUUAGCAUAAUCAAACUAAUGUUUUAAACAAUUUUCAGCUUGAAACGGGAAACGGGAAGAACAGAAAUUGAAUUUUAUGUUUAAUUAGUCUUUCCAGUUGGAAGGUUGGGGGCGCGAUUUUCUUUAGCUGCUUCAUAAAUAUCUCCUAUAAAUUCUAUUCCUAAAAACCGGCAAUCGUAGACUGCUUUUGUUUAUCUAUUAUGACGGAUGGAGGGCCCCAAAUCGAGUGGCGGCUGGUUGCCCUUUAAAUUAUGUAGGUAGAAGAAACUAUUAAAUAGAUAAUGAGUAGGUGAAUGAGGGCUGGAAGGAACGAUUGGAAGGAGAACACCAGGAAAGUUAUCUUUAAAAAAAAGAAAAGGAACAAGGCGAGAGUGGGAGGGCAUGAACGAGAAGAAUAGGUCAAUGAGAUAAUAAUCUGCGAGAGGUCAUCUGAUGUUGUUCGUGACAAGGAAAAAGAACUUGCUGUGGGAAUGUUAGCUGUUCUUUCUCCUGGAAACAUUAUCCACGUUACCUUGUAAAACACGUGUUGAUACAUAUAUGGACCAAGAAUAGCUAGUUUUAAUUAGGCGGCGACAACUAUUAUGCAUUUAUAGAUGAGCUUGAUACGGUUCAAGUUUAUGAAGAAUGAAAGAAUCCAGCCCCUUCUCCUCCUUGUCAUCAUCAUUUAUGUUUCUGUCGUAACACAUUGACUUGAUUUCUCGGGUUAAAAUGAGACGUGAGACGCAUUGAUGUUGGAGUUUUUUUUCCCUUCCAUUUGUCGCUUAUGUGAUCCGUGUAUCUGUUGAUUUAUUGUUUUGUCUGGCGUAUCUUUCUUCAGUUUUAUACAUUAAUGCAUUAACAAAUCCUGGGUCGACGGUGAGAGCACUGUUGGCUAUUAAGUGGUGCUUUAUAUGACCUUUAAAGUUAACUUAGGUAUAGAUAGACAAAGGAUCUGUGAAUGAAGCUAAUUAUAUCUAAUAUGUGAGUAUUACGGUUCAUUUUCUAUUUUACAAUUUGGAAAGUACUAAACAACAGUAGCACCUACUUUAGAAAGCUUACAAACUAUAUACGGUUAUUUUGUUUCAUUUGUGAAUUUUAGUGGGUGGCAGUCAUGUCAUUGUGGAAGUGAUCGUAGAAUACUUCAUUGAAUUUUGUUGAUAGUUUGUAUUUGCUAGCUCUUCUUUCUUCAGAAGAGCAUCUACAGAUGUAGAUCAAGAAACAGCUUUUACUUAUACUAUUAUUAGACUUCGUCUUAAGAGCUGCCAGUUGGAAGUGUUUUUGGGAUCAUCAUUUCCUUAUUUAUCACCAAUUGAAAUAUGAUAAUGAAACUAGAAAUUCUGGGGAACUAUAGGCUUCGUAUUAUAGGCUUAUCAUUUUUAAGCCCAUGGUUCAGUAUUAUUAUUGGUUGAUGAUGAUAUCAAAAUCAUACAACUCUUUCAUUCAUAACGUGUUAUUCCUGCAUUUCUUCUUCCUUUUUUGUUCUUUCCAGGGUUAGUCGGGGUUUCUUGCACACAGUCCCUAGAACCUCUUUGAUUAUAUUAGUAAUAGGUACCACCAAAUUAAUUACAACUGAUUUGUUCUCUUGAGCCGAGGGUCUUUCGGAAUCAGCCUCUCUACCCUUCGGGGUAGGGGUAAGGUCUGCGUACACACUACCCUCCCCAGACCCCAUUAGUGGGAUUUCACUGGGUUGUUGUUGUUGUUGUUGAUUUGAUGAGUCAUUUGCCAAUAUAGGGUUGGUAUGGUGCGUUUUAUGAACAGAAUGUGAUUAAAAUAGGUAUGUAAAAAUGAUAAUGGAGAAAUUGUGUGGUGGAUCCACAAUCCCAACAAAUUCAUGUAAUAUUCUUAAAUCACUGAGAUGAGUCGAAAGUUGCAAGAAGAACAUGAACAAAUGGAUGCCGAAUUAAAAAGUAACAUGGAACAAGAGUGCAAAGGAAGUUGGAAGAGAAACUUGAGCACGUGAAUACGGAAGUAGACAACCGGAUCAGUGUAGAAGUAGCCAAGAGGAUUCAAGAACAACUUGCUGCUAUCAUGACUGGAAUGCAACAGGUGAUCUACUCUUAAUGUUUUUGUACUCUUCUUACUCUUCCUUCAGUGUAUUUAGUUCACUAUAAAAUGUCAACCAACACAUAUGUAUCUAGCAUUAUACAAUUGAUAUUUAUGUUACCAUCAGCCCUUUUUUAGUUCAUUACUGCCAUCAGUCCAAUAUUUCUAAAAGGCUAAUAUUAGUUCAUUUCUUGCGCUCAUUGUGCUGGUUCGUGUUUGUCAAUGCUAGACUUGAGAUUCUUUUUUGGAUAAGUCUUCAUAGUAUUAGCAAAAAGCUAGCCAUUUCUCCUUCUCCUAUGUUUUCAAACAACUUUGGUUGGAUUUUGGAGGAUCCAAAUAUUCCUACAGUUGGAUAGUUAUAGAUAAAUUUACUUUCUACACCAAAGUAGUUGCAUAUAGCUUUUGCAAUUCGAUGUAGUACCCUUGUUGAAGGCUAUAUAAACAUUUUGUUGAUGCUAUAUAAACAUUGUGUUGAUCCAGUAUCAUUGAAGGCUAUAUAAACAGACCUACUGUGUUGCUGCCUUUACUGUGAUGCUUUCAAACUAUUCUGUCUUCAUUUGCUGUAGUUCCUUGAAAUUGUUCCAGAACCUUGAAGAGUUCAGCUAUCCUACUUUAGAAAUCUUCUGAAGUUAAUGUUCUUAUAUGUAUCUUUUUUCACCUUGAUCUUCUAACAAUGUGAAGUUAAGUUAAUGUUCCAGAACCUUGAUUGUUAAUGUUCUUAUAACAAUCUUCAAGCUCUAACAAUGUGAUCUUCUAUUUGUUUCUUUAAUAAUAGGGACAAGGUUCUUAAACAGUGGUGACAAUGAAGGAGGAGCUUGAAGCUAAGGCACUCAAUGUUUUACUUUUUGGUUAUAUAUGACAACGAAGUAUUACGUAGUAUAUAUAUGCGGAGGAACUUAAAGGUUAAGGCACUCAAUAUUUUGCUUUUUGGUUAUAUGUAUAUGCGUACAAUGAAAAUGAAGUAUUACAUAGUGUAUAUGCGGAGGAGCUUGAAGCUAAGGCACUCAAUAUCUUGCAUUUUGGUUAUAUGUAUAUGCGUACAAUGAAAAUGAAGUAUUGCAUAGUAUAUAUGUAAUUGAACUUUUAGUAAUGGAAGUGUUUAGUAUUUGGUUUAGGAAAUUCUUUUGGUGUUUAUUAAAUACUGUUAGAUGAUCUUAAACUUAUAUAUUAAUGUAAACUCUAGUAUUCAGUUGCUACUAGAGUAAUAUUAAUGGCGAGUUUCAGUUGCCACAAAAAUCACUAUUCAGUAGCGUUAUUAGAGUUGCCACUGAUGGCAAAUCAUUUUUGUGGCAAUUAAGUCGCCACUAAAUGUCACUCUACAGUAGCGCUAUUAGAGUUGCCACUAAUGGAAAAUUAUUUUUGUGGCAAUUAAGUCGCCACUAAAUGCCAGUCUUCAGUAGCGGUAUUAGAGUUGCCACGGAUGGCUAACCAUUUUUGUGGCGACUAAGUCGCCACUAAAUAUCACUCUACAGUAGCGCUUUUAGAGUUGCCAUAGAUGAUUAACUAUUUUUGUGGCGACUAAGUUGCCACUAAAUGUUACUUUUCAGUAGCGACUUCGAUAAAAUCAGUCUAGUGGAACUCUUUCUUGUGGCGAGUACAUCAAGUUUUUGUAGCGACAAUGUCGUCACAAAAGGUAUACAUUCUGUGGUGACCUCAUGUUGUCGUCACUAGUAACAUUCAGUAAUGGAAGUACUUGCAGCAGUUCCAAAGUCGCUACUGUACACAUUUAGUGCCGCCAAAUUAUCUGUUUAGCCUGUCCCUUUCCCCGUUCCUAAUAUACUAUCUUCCUGUCUUAACUGCUACAUGCUUAUUGGUGCUUCUAUGUUUAAUGGCUUCUUGUUAGACGUUGUUUUCUUUAUUGAAGGUAGUAAUUGUUCCGCAGUCUCAUUGUGUUACAUUAUUGGUUUAAGUUGGUUUAUCGGUGUAUCAUGGUAUAUUUUUGUUGGUCUCGCUGUGUAGUAGUAAUUGAGUGAAGUUUUAUAAGUGUAUAGCUUUCUAUUUGCUUUGUUUUGAGGCAUAAAUAUUGUAGAGGAUUUUGAGCUAAAUUAUGAAAUACUUGUUCUUAUUAUGUGAUUGGUACUGAUAUGGUGGGAUCGGGUUGCACGUCGCAACAAGAGGAAUAAGGGUGAUAUAUUGAGGAGGAAUAAGAGUGAAAUGUGAUUGUCUGGUAGGAUUGGGUUGCGCGCCGCAAUAGGAGUAAUAAGGGUGGAUUGGUGGGAUCGGGUUGCACGCUGCAACAUGAGGAAUAAGGGUGAUAUAUUGAGGAGUAAUAAGGGUGGAUUUAUGAGAUCGGGUUGCACGCCGCAAAAAUCACAUUGACCAGAAAAUACAAUUUUUUGGUAGUAUUUGUUGUUCCACAUUUUUUAUUUUUUAUUUUUAGUCUAAUAAAUAAUAACCAAUUAAAAUAGAAAAAAUACAUUAUAUAUAUAUACACACACACAUUUUUUACUAAUAAAUAUAAUUAGUUUCGACCCCAGUUAAUUUUGUAUUUUUCUCUUAAAAUAGGAAUGACCCAACCCAACUUACCCAAUGUAUACAUAAAGUAAAAUAAUUAAAAGUAAAUUAUUCCCCCACAAAAACCUUUGUUCGGAAUGUAUGAGAAUCUGGCCAAAACGAUAAGAAAUAAAAGUUAACCUAUACAUAUGGAUUUUGGGUCGGCUGAGUCGGGCCGGGUUGAAUAUUAUUUAUUAUACUAAAAAAAUAAGGAAUAAGAAAAUACUAUUGAAAAAUUGUUCUUUCCGGUCACUAUAAUUUUUGUGAGAGUUAUUGAAAGUUUCAUGAUUUUUGUGUAAAAAAACUAAGUUAUAUGUCUGUAGAUAAUAAAUUUGCGUCGUGAAAAUAAAAUUAAGACCGAAAAAUAUUGCAACAAUCGUAGUAGUUUAUUUCAAAUAUUUGAGCGUUACAAUCUCUAUGAAUCCUCUGAUUCUUCUUUCCAAUAGUAAAUAAAUUUAAGGGCCUUUGAGCUUGAUCUUGAAUAUGUAGUUGUCGCCACAAACGAUGAUCUUGUUCUUGAGCUUUAGCUUGGUUGCUUGAACUUGACCUUGAUUUAUUCUUCGUUCCUGAGCUUGAACUUGAUUUCUUGAACUUGAAGCUUGAAACUUGUGGAGGAAUUUGCAGCGUUUGAUUCACGAGCACUUUCUUGCUUCUUGUUAUAACUUCUGGUGUCUUUCUGAGUUAUGAAGAUCUCUAUUUAUAGUUGUGAAAGUGAGGAGUUGUGAUAAGACCAAACUCUUUCCGACCAAUCAAUUGAAGUGUGAUAUGGUCGCAUUGGAUUGGUCAGAAUAUGUCACUUGCACACGUGACACGAUUUCAUUAGCCUUUUAAUGUGACUUGGCAUGCCUUGUCAUUUUGACACGUGGCAUGGUCCUAUUGGCUCUUCCAUUUGACGUGGUGUGCCACGUCAUUUGACACGUGGUACCAAAUUGGACCUCUAGGAAGAUGAUAUAUUGGGCCUAAUAAAGUGGGUUCAUCAUUUGUAGCCUAACUAAAUGGGCUAGCCCAAUAAAUAUUUAUUGGAUUUAAGCAAUUAAUCAAAUUAUAUUAACCCACAUUAUUUAUUUGGAUUAAUAUAUUUCAAUAUAAUUCAAAUUAUUUUAUUAAAUUUAAAUUUAAUAAAUUUUGCAUACUUACAAAUGCCUCCUACUUCAAGACUCGUUAAAAUACAACUUAUAAACUUUAAAAGACGAGGCUUAAAGUAUCCACAGUUACACGCUUGUGCAAAUUGCAAGUUGCCUACCAAUUCUCAAGCUUUCCAUAAUUUUCAAGCUUAUUUCAUUUAAGGUUUAUGCAAUUGCAAAGUUGGAUAAACUUUCCAACUUGGUUAAUCUAGGAUGCCGCAUGCCCAUGUAAAAUCCAAAAUUAAUUGUGAAUACUAUAAUGAAAAUAAAGACAAUGACACUAAAGACAAUGCAUUUCAUCUUUUCCAAUGUCCCAAUUCUCACGUGAAAUAUCUAUUAAGUGAUACAAUCAUACACCAUUAUUGUCUCCCAUGAGGAAACACAUAAACAAGUUGUUGCACUUAACAUAUAUAGAAGAAAUGCUUGAAUAUUCUUUCCGGUGAUCACAUUGAAUUGAAAUGAAUCCUAAUUGCUAUUAACGUCUCAUCCGAGAUGUAUUUAGAGACGUAUCUGUCAUUCUUAGACUAGCAUCGUCAAAUUCCAAACCUAGAAUGCACAGCUGGCAUUUCGUAGUUUGAGUAGGAAUCAAAUUAUAGCAUCCUAAUUUGUGAUGGAAACUAGUUGUUAGCCGUAUUUUCUGUUGAUCCCACACUGGUAAUUAUCUUUCUCCUUUUGACAUCUAUAAAUAUCAUACGUCUUUCAUUACAUUAGUACCAAUUACAGUACCAAUUUGAGCGUUUGAAAAUUGUUUUGAGUCUACUUUUGACGACUUUCUUAUUUUCUUGUACUUUUUUUUUAGUCUAUUGUCUUUUUUUAAGAAGUAACUUUGUCUAACUACGAAAUACUUUAAAAGUUCGAGAUAAAGACCUUUAAAAGUUCGCGAUCAAUACCUUUAAAAUUUGCGGGGAAGACCUAUAAAAGUCAGCGCGAAGAUCCUUAAAAGCUUAUGGUCAAGAUCUUUAAAAGUUCACAAUGAAGACUUUAAAAGUUUGCGGUGAAGACCUUUAAAAAUUCGCGACGAAUACCUUUAAAAUUUGCGGGGAAGAUCCAUAAAAGUUUGCACGAAGAUCCUUAAAAGCUCGUGGUCAAGAUCUUUAAAAGUUCAUUGUGAAGACCUUUAAAAGUUCGCGACAAAUACCUUUAAAAGAAUGCGAUGAGGACCUUUAAAAAUUCGUGGCGACGACCUAUAAAAUUUCCACAAAGAUCCUUAAAAACUCGUGAUGAAGACAUUUAAAAUUUGCAGCGAAGUCCAUAAAAGUCCGCGAUGAAGACCUUUAAAAUUUGUGGCAAAGACCAAUAAAAGUUCUUGCAAAGACCUUUAAAAGCUCGUGGUCAAGAUCUUUAAAAGUUCACAGUGAAGACCUUUAAAAGUUCGCGGUAAAGACCUUUAAAAGCACGAGAUAAAGAACUUUAAAAACUCGCGGCGAAGACCCUUAAAAGCUCAUGGUAGAAAUAAGUCGGCAAUGAUGACCCUUUAAAGUUUUCCAUGAGCACUUUUAAAAGUUCGAGACAGGCACAUUUAAAAGCUCAAGAUGUACACCUUUUAAAGGUUCGGAACUAGAACCUUAAAAAUUCGGAUGCCAUUAAAAGUUCGAGACGAACACCUUUAAAAGUUCUCUAUGAAAACCUUUAAAAAUUCAAAUGCCUUUAAAAGUUCGGGACAAACACCUUUAAAAGUUUACAACGAAAACCUUUAGAAGAAGUUCGACACAGACAUCCUUUUUUUUACGAUUGAGGCGAUUGUUUUUUCACUUAUCCAUGCUCUCUUACAUGAUUGCGAUUGUUACUCUUCCCUUUUUAGGGAAGUGAGCGGAUAUGAAGACCAACAAACUUGAAGGUUAUGCGAGCAUGAAGACAUAGCGAAUCUCUAGACUUUGAUGCAAAUAUUGUCAUCAUUUCAGUGAAGACACCAUUUUACCAUAGCAACUUGCCCCCAUUAAAUCAAAUGUGAUCCAAAGAUCAACAGAAGGAUGGCAUUUCAGCUUGAUUUUACAUUCUUUUCAUACUUCACUCUGACUACAAUUAGGACACUAUGUAUCUUUUGAAAUCAUGUGACUGAACUUAGAAUGAAACUCUAAGCUGCCUACGUACCUCGGUGAAGAGGAUCAAGUCAUACCGUAGUUCAGAAUGGGUAAUAUUUUAUUUUAUUUAUGUCCUAACUUUUGCCUAGGCUGCCUCUUUCGGGGUUUUCAACCUAGCGGAUUCUUUUUUUUCCGUAUUAUUUUUUGUUUUUUGGUGGGCCAUACACAGUUUAGACUCAUGCAGGCCAGGAGCGUAGAAACAUGCAGUUUAGGCUCAUGCGUCAAGGAGCGUUGCAACUUCAAAGAUAAUACUUCUUCAAAAACUUGCCAUUGAUAUGGCCAAUUCUCAUGCCAUUUGCAUCAACCAACUUGUAAGCCCCACUUGAGUAAGCUUCUUGUAUUACAUAUGGCCCAUUUCAUUUUGAAGUGAACUUCUGUAUAGGUUUAGGGAAGUAAUUAUGGGUCUUCGUAGGUAAUGACUUGAUCUCCUGCUUGAAAGGAUCUAGGGCGAACUCUUUUACUGAAGGCGCGAGACAAUCGAGCUUGAUAACAUUCAAGACUCUGUUGAGCUUUCAACCUCUUCUCAUCAAGAGCCUCCAACUCUGCUAAUCAAAGUCGAGCAUUUUCUUCAUUAGUGAUCCCUUAUUGAAUAGCCAGGCGUAACAAAGGUAUUUGACACUCAAGUGGCAAGAUGGCUUCGACUCCAUAAACGAGUGAAUAAGGAGUCGCCAGUGUUGGCAUGCGGUGAGUCAUCCUAUAUGCCCAUAGAGCUUUUUCCAUACGGUCAUUCCAAUCUCGUUUGGAUUUGGAGAUGACUUUCUUUAAUAAGUUGCAUAGAGUUUUGUUGAAUGCCUCAGAUAGACCAUUGGCGGUAGCAUUGUACAUGGAAGAGUUAUGUUGCUUGAAGCCAAAGAGAUCACAAAUCUUGUUCAUCAACCUAUUAUCGAAUGGCUUUACAUUAUCCAUUAUUAUGUAACGAGGAAUGCCAAAGCGAUAAAUAAUAUUUACCCGGAUGAAACUUGCAACAUUUUCCUUCUUUACUUCCUUAAGAGCAACAACUUUAGCCUAUUUUGAGAAGUAGUCGAUUGUAGCCAAGAUUUAUAGGUGCCCACCAGAGAACUUUGGCAGUGGUCCAACAACAUCCAACCCCAAGCGUCAAAUGGCCAAGAUGCAACAGUCGGGUACAACACUUCAGGAGAUUGAUGAAUAAAAUUCACAUGGAAUUCAUAAGCCUUGUAUCUUCGAGCAUAAUCCAUGCAAUCUUUUACCAUCGUUGGCCAAUAAUAUUCCAUCCUUUUUAUAUGGAAGUGGAGCUUUGGUCUAGACUGGUGUGACCCACAAAUCCCAGAAUGUGCCUCUUGUAAAGCUUGGAGUGCUUUUUCUUCCCCUAAGCAUUGCAAGAGUACUCAUUCGAAUGACCUUUUGUAUAGAGUAUCUUUGUAGUAAAGGAAGCUAGGUGCACGACGACGGAUUUCAGUCCUUCUAAGCGGAUUUUCUAGAAGUAUCCCAUAGCACAAGUAGUUGAUAAUGGGUUGUCGCCAUUCUUCUUUCUCAACUUCAAAAAUAGCGACAAGAUGCUUGAGUUCAUUUUCUUCAACUUUAGCCUCAUUUGGCGGCGGUACUAUCCAUGUUUGGCAGAUAGUAACUUGCGCUUGAUCAGGCAGGAUUAACAAUAAAGCUAGGGAAGCUAAAGCAUCAGCCUUUUUAUUUUCUUUCCUUGGCACAUGCUGAGUAGUCACAUCACCGAGCCACCCUAUUAAGUUUUUAGCGUAAUCAUGAUAUGGGUGUAGUUCAGGUUUCUUGACCUCGUAACUACCUAAAAGCUAAUUGACCACUAACUAAGAGUUACCAAAGACUUGCAAUUGCAACCAUUUCAUUUUGAUAGCUAUUUCGAGCCCAAGUAUUAGUGCUUGAUACUCACCAACGUUGUUAGAGCAGAGUUGCGUCAACAUAAAAGAGUAGGGCAGAACUUCACCUUGAGAAGUGACAAAUACUACCCCAACACCAGCUCCUCCGCGAUGUGCAACACCAUCAAAGUACAUCUUCUAUGGAGGCUGAACUUCAAUGACCAUGGCGUCCUCAUCAGGUAGUUUUUCAGUUUGCUCCCAAUCAUCAAGUAUAGGGUGAUCUGCCAAGAAGUCCGCUAACACUUGUCCUUUUAUGGCCUUUUGUGGGAUGUACACGAUUUCAAAUUGUUGAAACUGGAGGUACCACCUUGCUAGUCGAUCAUUAAGGAUAGGUUUUGACAUCACGAACUUGAUGGGAUUUGCUCUAGAAACCAAACGAAUGACAUGAGCUUUAAAGUAGUGCUUCAACUUUUGGAUUGAGAAGACUAGCGCCAAACAUAAAUUUUCAAUUGGCGAAUAAUUCAGCUCAUUUGGUGUCAUCAUCCUGCUCAAGUAGUAAAUGGAGUUUUCUUUCCCUUCACUAUUUUCUUAGGCCAACUACGCUCCAACAGACCUAUCUUGUGCUGAAACUUAUAGUAUCAAUGGCUUUCCAAAUAUAUGGGCUGCCUAAACUGGAGGCUUCAUCAAGUAAGAUUUAAUGGUCUCAAAGGCAUCGCUACACACUUGGUCCCAUUUGAAAGGGACACCUUUCUUCAUAAGAUGAUUGAAUGGUUGGCACCUCCCAGCUAGGUUUGAGAUGAAUCUUCUAUGGUAUGCUAGCUUUCCUUGCAGACUUUUCAAUUCAUGAAUAUUGCGAGGCUCGGGCAUUUUCAAAAUAGCAUCUAUUUUGGCUUGAUCAAUUUUGAUACAUCGAUGUCGGAUAAUGAAACUAAGGAACUUUCCGGAAGUAACUCCAAAAGCGCAUUUCAAUGGAUUCAUCCUAAGUUGAUACCUCCGGAGAAACUCAAACACCAUUCUCAAGUCUUUUAAGUGGUCGCCCCUCUUUCUUGAUUUUACCACCAAGUCAUCCACAUAGCAUUCGACAUUCUUGUGGAGAAGGUCAUCAAAGAUAUUUUGCAUAGCUCUUUGGUAAGUAGCACCAGCAUUCUUCAAGCCUAAAGGCAUUACCUUGUAGUAAUAAAUACCUUUGGGGGUACGGAAUGCAGUAAGCUCUUCAUCUUUUGGCGCCAUGCGGAUUUGGUUAUAGCCUGAUGAACCGUCCAUAAAUGAUAUUACCUUGUACCUAUUAGUAGCAUCGAUCAUCAGCUCUGGCAUAGGAAGCGGGAAUUCAUCUUUUGGACACGCGUUGUUGAGAUCCUUGAAGUCAACGCACACUCGAAUCUGGCCAUUUUUCUUCCUUACAGGGACUAUACUUGAAACCCAUGUUGGGUAUUUAACUACACGAAUAAAACCAGCUUCGAUGAGUUUGUUAACUUCGGUUUCAAUCAAGGGAACCAAGUCCGGCCUAAAGUGCCUUUGAGCUUAUUUAACAGGGCAAGCACCUUUGUUGACUGCAAGGUGAUGGACUGCUACUUUUGGGUCCAAGCCAAGCAUCUCUUUAUAACUCCAAGCGAAGACAUCCUUGAACUCCUUGAUUAACUCAAUAUAAGUGCUCUCUUCAUCAACUUCUAGUAAAGCACUUAGGCAGGUGGGUCUUGGUUCUUCAUCGGUACCAAGGUUAACUUCUUUUAAGGCAUCAACUGUUGUCUUCAUUCCUUCUUCAAGUUGAGGUGGAGCAUCCUUCACAUCUUCAUCUUCUUGAGGCUCCCCAUCGUUGAAGAAUAUAUGAUAACACGGUGAAACAUCCUCAAAUUCUGCAUUACCCUCCAUUGAAGAUGGAACGUCAUUCUCAACUUGUACAGUAACAUGAUAUGAAGAACCCACACAUUCUUCAUCUUCAUCACGUUCCUUAGUAUAAACCACAGUAUAUGGCUUUACCUUUAGUACUUCUUUACAUGAAACCACAAGUUUUGUUCGUCGCCUCAUUCUAGAAGAAACCAAACUUUUGAAAUCUUUAGAGAUCUCCUGGAUUUUGGAUGAAGCGGGUGUUCUUAUGCUUUGAAAAUUUCUCCGGGACUUGUUCCCCUUCUUUAAUGGACCCAAUAUUUCAAACACGGAGGUACUCACAGGUGAUUUUCCAAGUCGAUCAAAAAUAGAAAGCUUGUUAGAAGCAGUCGAUUCAUCUUCUACAGAGAUAUAAUUUUUGCUCGCCCUUCUUAUUGAGAUGCGCACGGGUGACGGUUGCUUGUAUCCCAAACCUUCACGUGGUUUCCUCGUUGUAGCUUUUGAUGGGAGCUUUCCUAACUUUGACGACUCAUUGGGAUUGUAUCCAGCUUUUGCAAAUAGCUUAUAAGCGUUAGGGUCCAAACCUUCAUCUGUUCGCUUUGUAGGGAGUGCCACAUUCUGCAAAUGAUUUUGGGCUACAAACCUUGCAAGCGGCUUCGAGGACAACUUUACUGCCUCAAUCUGUUUUACCGGAAGAGUUAACUCCUUUAGCAUGUUAGUUUGGAGAUUAGAUGAUUUUCCCUCGUCUUUCUACCUUUUAGGGACAUAUUGGAGCGCAUGACUCACUUUCUUGCCAUAAGGCACAAUACCCCGUCUAUAAGAUUUAUUCGCGUUGGGUUGUACCUCCUCGGUAACAUCUUUGACUCUACCAGUAGUCACUUCGGUUCUUUUAGUUGUGGGCUCGUCAUUUUUGCUUUUUAUGACAUCAUCGGCUUUUAGCUCCUUCAAAAUACAGUUCUUCAAGUAGAACUUUGCAUCGACAAAGUGUGACUCUGCCUCGGUGAAUGGCUCAUCAUUAGCAACUAUAUUCGUCUCAACUUUACCUUCGUAGUAUUUCAAACAUUGAUGGUAGGUAGAUAGAACCACUUUGUUCUUAUGUAUCCAAGGCCUUCCAAGCAAGACGUUGUAUGAAGUAUUUGCGUCGAUCACAUGUAGUCAUGCACUUGAUUGCAUAUCUUCAAUGAUGAUUUCCAUCCUGAUCGCGCCUAUGGCUCUUUGCCCUUGGUUGAAUCCUUGGAUCAUCACACGACUUUCUAAGAGUUCAUUCAUGGGAAUGCCAAGUUCUUUUACAGUGCGAAUUGGCAAAAUGUUCAUUGAGGAUCCUCCAUCAACCAAAAUUUAAUUUACCCUUUGAUCAGGCAUAUAUCCAACCAGGUACAAUGAGCGGUUAUGAAGAGUGUCACCUAGCAGAAUAUCGUCAUUUGUGAACGUGACUUUUUGCUUCACAAGCACUAACUUCUUGAGGAGUGAACACGAUGAGCUUUUCCGAAGAUUGUGCCAACUGUCACGACCCUAGUUCACCCUCCAUGAACUGUUGUGACGACACCUAGUCUCUACGACUGGUAAGCCUAACAAUUUGCGUAAAGAGGGAAAACAACAGAUAAAAAAAACUUAUACAACUACGGAAUAAACAUAAUGAAGGUUUAAGAUGCCGCUCGGCAUAUACAAAUAUAAACUCUCAAACUGAUCAACUUUCCAAAACCCGGAAUCUCAUGAAAUCACAAGCUAUAGAUAUUACAUAGCGUUCUAACUCCAGAAUGUCUAAAUCAAGGGAAAUACAGAAGGGCUAUAACUAUAAGAGAGAAUGGAGAGGGACUCCUCAGUUUGCGGAUGCGGCAGAUAUACCUCGAAGUUUCUAGAGAAUCGCCUCACCUCAAGGAUGAUAGGGCUGAGCAGAAGGACCUGGAUAUACACAUGAAAAAUAUGCGCAGAAAGGGCAUGAGUACACCACAGUGGUACUCAGUAAGUGUCAAGCCUAACCUCGGUCGGGUAGUGACGAGGAAGGUCAGGGCCCUAUUGAGGUUAGAUGAAAA